Molecule: non-coding RNA, 18521 nt
Organism: Rattus norvegicus (Norway rat)
Lineage: Eukaryota; Metazoa; Chordata; Mammalia; Rodentia; Muridae
Source: RefSeq, a predicted model, not a curated record
GGGAGUUUGUGGAGAGAAAACCAGGAAGUGGGAGAACAUUUGAAAUGUAAAUAAAUACAUUAACCAAAAAAAAAAAAAAAGAAAAAAAUCUCUUUUGGGAGGGUCUCUUUUUUUGAGCUAAACAACUACAUUACAAUACAGUAUAGAAAGACAAAGAAAAUUAUAUAAUCAUAAGAAAAGCUUGCUCUGUUGGUGAUGAUUCUCAGCAGCUAAGAAUCAAGGAUUCUAGCACCAUGUGCUCUGUAGAUAGUGAUCUGCAGAUACUAACCCUUUUAUAAGUAGCUUAGUCCUGUGUUUAUAUGACCUUAGGUAAAGUGUCACUCUAUAAGGGCAGCACAAAUUAAUCCAGGUAGGAUUUUGCCUGCUCCCUAAGGUAUUGAAUUACUAAGAAUGAGUUCUGCAUACAGAUAUAUAAUGUGCUUUCAGAUAGUACAUAAUAGUAACUCAUUACAGAUUUCCCACAGCUAAAUGGAACAUUCAUCAUGUCACAUAACCCAGGAAUCUACCACCUAAAAACUAAUAUGUAUUAUGUGAGGAAAAUAAAUGUAGUGAGCUUGUACCGACCUGUUCUUAUGCUUGUGGACACCUCUGAAUCAGGGAUGAGGAUCCCAGUAUCAGGUCUCCUCAUCUGUGCAGUCCUGAGUCACAGGAUGUGGCUGAGUUGUGGCUCUUGCUUCACAAUGAGGAUAAAGCUGUACCUGGAAUGCCUUUGUAAGGAGGAAUUUACAUGAAAAUCAUCAGCCCCUUUGUUCAGGCUUGAUAACAUCAGUGAAGUUCAGAAAACUCCACAUCCUUUCUCUUCUAAGUCAACUUGCAUUAUAGAAAAAGUUUUGUGUUUCAUAUGAAGAAAUAAGAAAAUGUGAUUCUGAGAAAGGAUCUUUGAUAAUGUCUUGUCUAGGAAACAUUAAAAGUUAUGUUUUGUAUCAUAUGUAUAUAUGAGGGUACACACAUGAAAGUAUACAUAAGCACACACACACACACACACACACACAAAUACUGCCACAUAUAGAUAUGGCAGCAUAUAUAUGCUAUACCCUUUCACACACAGAGAGAGACGUAUAUGUUUGCAAACACACACACACAGACACACACACACGCACACACGCACACGUGCAUGCACACAGGAACACAGGCACACAGGAACACAGGCACACACACACAUAUUUUAGACCCUCCUACUAUAACCUUACUAGUGAAAAUCACAUUAAUCUUCAAGGGCUGUGAAAGAGUUAAGAAAAGUCUCUUUUAUCCUGUGACUCACAUCCCUUUUUGUAAGCUAUAGUUUUACAUAAAAUAAAUAAACCAAACUGACUAACAAAAUAAAAGAGAUCAAUUUUCCCUAAGCAAUUUCAUGCAUUUUUAAGCAACACAAUGGUGGGCAGUUGAAAGAGUUCUGUGAUUGAUCUAUCACUAUACUGAACACUUAGUUACAGAAAAAAAUCAAUAUGAACAGGUCAUUAAACUCCUUGAAUAGAUGCAUCAGUGUGGGAUGUUCUUCAGGAAGGAUCAUUUAUGGUAUAUAUGACUCUGCCUUGUACUCCAGAAAACAGAAAACAAAAGGUAAGGUGGUUUUAAUUCAUUAAUGGAAGAUUUCAAAAUAAAAACGAAUGAGUACACACUAAGGGUCUCCAAUAAACCCAGCCACAGUUUCUGUCUCUCUGUAAUUAUUCAAACUAUUGAUACCGAUAACUACAUAGGUCAACUGUAAACUACAUAUAUGUGGAAGAGUUCCCCUUUUUCAGUUUUAACAUCUUAUCUUGUGUGCCAAAAGAGCCCUCAGAGGGCAAUGGAUUACGUGGUGUUGUGUGUUUUUCAAAACUGCAGGCUUAUGUAUUUGAAUACAAACAAGUACAUUGUUGGUAAAGUGGAAAAAAAAUAAAACAAGGAGCCAACACGAAACUCUCUCAGGAUAAUGGUACUGUUGUACUGUUAAACUAUUUCAAUCUGAGGCCCACAGGGAAUUAUCCAGUUUGUUGCUGUUUUGUUGUUUUUUUUUUUGUUGUUGUUGUUUUGCUUUGUUUUAAGUAGAACCCCCUCUACCUCAACCACCUUCCUCUUUCUCAGGCACUUUCUUAGUAACAAAAGCAAUAGUACACUCCACUAAUUUCUAAAGGUCUAGAGAAUUAGAUAAACUAAGAUGGAUGAACAUUUUAAUCAAUAAACAUUGUUCGUUAGGCUGUCGUGAAAUUAGCUGUGUGGGCCUGCUGAGUUUCUGUUGCAAUGCCCAAGUUUAAAGGCGUCCAUGAACUUUGUUUCAUUCUGAAGUGUGAACAGAUUUGAUACUGAUCCAGAACUCCUGCAUCGAAGUUUGCAUCUUACAAUUAUAGUCUCCAUAAAUUUCUCUAGAGUCAUCUAGAAGGAAAGAUGUUAUGCAUCCCCAAUUUGUUGUAAGAACUUCAGCUUUACCUAUGUUUGUAGAUGCUCAGUCAUGAAACACAAAUAUUUACAGGGAGGCUGAGGGGGAAGGGAGGAUUGUUAUGUCUUAUGUUCAGCCUGGGCUCCAUAGGGAGUUUCAAGCAAGCCUGGGCUACAAAGAGAGAGGUAAACUCUGCUUCCACACAUUCAAAAACAAAAGGAGAGUGACAGAGAAGGUGAGGGAAAUGGGGAUGUUAGGAGGGUAAUUGUUGACAGUUCCUUGUGUGUUUUCAUGGUGUCCUUCUUUUCAGCUACUUAUUUACUUCUUCAGAAAUACAAGCAGUGACUUUGAUGGACAACACAGUAUUCCUUCACUUAACAGUCUUAUUUUAAAAGUAAUUAUGUUAAUACUUGUAGACUGACACAUAGUGCAACAUGAACAUAGAUAUUAAUAUCACUUCCCCGUAAUUUACCCGUCAGCUCCUAAUGUAUAACAUUUCCAGAUUUUCCAUCAAGAAUUUGUUGAGUAUCCACAAACAUGUCAACUCAUAUGCAAGUCUGAAGUGAGUUUAUCUGUUUAUUAGUCAGAGGUGGCUGACACCUUUGUAUAUGAAUACUUGAAGCACUGUUCUUCCAUUAUAUGUGUAUUAUAUCAAUUCAUAUCUAUACCUGAAAUACCCAGGAUAAAUGUUUUGCUAUUUGCUGAUCCCUCCAAGCAACACUGAUUGUAUCAAAGCUUCAAUCUUUUUAAAAAUGAUCGUGUGUUUGAGCUUCACUAUCUAAUGAGACAAAAUUCUCAAAGCAAUUUACCUCAGAUUCUUAUAUCUAACCUCAAAUGACAUUAAGAUUUCAUUUGUUCUCUUUCACGUUUGGUGAAAGUAAUAUCAAUGAUUUUCAGGGUUCAUAAAAUUUAUCUGGGAACUUUUCUGUGACUUGAACACAUGAGACAACUAUCUUUCCUGUGUAUUUGGUUCAGGUUUGACUAUAAUAUGAUUUUGCACCUUUCAAUGGUGCAUUGGAAACCAAUGAUUUUCAGAAUUCAGAAGAAAAAGUGUGUGCAUUUGUGUGUGUGUGUGUGUGUGUGUGUGUGUGUGUGUGUGUGUGUGCGCGCGCGCGCGUGUAUAUGUGUGUUCAUAAUGGUAUGGUGUGUACACAUCUUUGGAAAAAUCAGAAGAACCUCAGAUUUCAUGAAUCAGAAGCCAUUCAUUUGUUUGUCAUUUACAUUGUUAGUUAGUUUGUUUGAGAGAGGAGCUGUCUCUGAGACCUGAGGUUAGGAUAUUAGACUAGACUGAAAUCAGAGCAAGCCCUACAGUUCUGUUCAGGGGGUUCUAAUGUUAAUGUCCUGUCCCCCACCUGGUUCUUGAUCUAUCAGUAAAGAUGCCAGGGGCUAACUGCUGGACUGAAGGAAAAAGUCAGGACUUCCAUUUCCCCUGAAGAAGAAGUGCAGAGGAUGAAGAGGGUUUUCACCAUGAUUCCGAGGGAGAAAAGUUUACAGUGGAAAGGAAAAUUUCAUUCUGAGAAUUGAAAACACCUGCUGAGAGACUGAUCAUGACACUUGGUCUUUACCUCCAUAGGAUUAUCAAGGGGAGAGAAAUUCAUGAGGUAUUUACAGAAAACCCUCAAUGUUAAACAUAUGUCCUUGUGCUGUGCUUACUAUAUUGAUGUUAUUUUGAUACUAUUACUAUAUUGGAGCUAUUUAUUUCCCUAUAGUGACCAUUUUUUCCAUAGAUAUUCACAAUUCUCUUCAGAAAAGAGAGAUUCUGUUACUUGGGAAAAAAUAUGUAGAAUUGGAUCACAAUGGAAGAAGUAAAAUGAACCAGGCAUAGAAGUAAAGAACGCUGUGCCACCCAUCACUUGUGGAAUCUAGACAAAGAAACUCUUAAGAGCAUAGUGGGAUAUUGCCAGAAUGCACAGAGCAGCCACAGUACACAACCAGCUGUAAGAGUAUAAACCCAGUCAGACCAGAAGUAGUAUGGAGUGUGUUCCUAUGUGUGCAUGCACAAAGAAGUCCCCCACACAACUGCAUUAAGUAAUUUAGUAUUUUUAAAAGAAAUAGCAUCACAUUCUCCUCUAAAACAUAAAUGGCCAUUUAAUUUGUUAAUGUACAACAGAAAUUACAAUUAAACUAAAAGAGCAACUAUUUUUCUUUCAUUCAACAGAAAGUAUACAUUCUAGAUUCAUUCCUUAAAUCAACAAGCCUAUAUAAAUGCAACAUUUCUAUGAUCUAAGGUUUCUACACUCAUUGAAAUAAAUUGCCUUUCACAUAGUAGCACUGGUAAUUCAAUCUGCAACGAAUCCAGGCUCUUCCAAAACUGUUCCUUGUAGAGCUAUGACUAUGACUUAAAGUGCACAGUUUUAAAAUUAUUUAUUCCAACUUUCAGCUCUCCCCAAGCCUUAUUAUCCCAUAUUUCUCUAUGUUAACUGCUAAUUUGUUUUUCCUACCUCUGGGACAUGGUAAGGGAUUUGAGAAACAAGGUUAGAAUUUUGGAAGAAAUGUUUUGUUUACCCUCAGAGACAAGGCACUCUCUGUACUGUGGUGUGAAGUAUUUGAUCAGUACACACGGAGUCAGCUGAUACUUUAAACUGGAGGGCUGCAGCCACAGUCUGGUGAUGCUGACAGAUGAGGAGGUGUAGGUUCUUAUCAGAAUGAAGACAGACACAAUAACUGUGGGAGUGCUUUAUCCUUAUUCCUUAUGCCUUUCUCUAUGGAUGCUUCCUGUUCUCCCUGCCUCAGUCAUUUGUUCAUACGAAAUUGAAUAUACAUUUCCAGGAGGCCUCUGAGUCACCACGCAUGUAACCUGUGACACACUUUCACUGACGACAUGAGAUAAAGUAUUUUCAAUGUCAUCUUACACAGUAUCAAGCCAACUGACAUUGCAAAGAGACAGUUGGCACCAUUUGUCAGUGUUUUCUUCUCUGCAUGGCUUCCAUGGGGCAACAGAAAAUAUCUAAGCUCUAGUCUUGCAGCAAAAUGCUCCCAGUUUUGUGAAAUUCUUUUUGAGCCAGUGAGUUGACUCUUUAUUAAAGAAAUACCUUUCAUGUUCAUGUGUCCAUAUCUUUCUCCUUAGACCUUCUAAGCAAUCCCUCUCCUACAAAGCGCAUUUCUCCCUGUUGGAAUUGAACACUAAUAAAUAACAUACUUAACUAAUAAUAUAUGUUGUGAUCAAUGGCAUAUGGAUGGGUAUGUAUAUACGUGAACAUCAUCUUGCAAGCAAAUUUGGUGCUAGCAAAGCCUGUUUAACCAACAGGAAUUAAGUAUUUCAUAUCUGAAAUUCUACAAUAUCCACAAUACCCUGCUUUUAACAGACAACAUUUUUAUGCACGAUGAAAACUGAGGGAUUUCAUCUUGGUUUUGAAAAAAUUUUAUCCCUAUGAAGAGAAAACACAUACACUAGAACCAUGAAUUGAAUUUAAGAAGAACAAAUAAAUAUUUUACUUGAUUUUUUGUAUUUUAUCUGUGACUAGAUCUUUAAUAGAAUCAUACAAAAUCUUUCCUAAAUUAUAGAAAGACAUAUUAAUGGAGCUACAGAAAGCAUCCUUAUUUUUUCAUCUCAGUCAUUCUGUGUAGCUCCAUGUGCAUCUAACUUCCAAUUUAACUUCCCAAGCCUGACAUCCUUCCAGCAUUUUUGCUGACACAAUUCAAGGUCAGUCUACCAAUAAUUCUCGUCUAGUGAUAACAGCAAGCACUUUCCUGGUUUCUUCUUUACAACAAGUAAGCUUGUUUUUCUCCAGAAAUUAAUAUAAAUAUCUUUAUGGUUUUGGUGUUUAUUUAUCCCCCAGUUGCUUCUUUUAGUGACCAAAAUGCAAACUAUUAUAUCCUCUGAGAUCUCCUGGUCCCUGUAGUAUUUAAACCCUGCAAUUAUUGGACCUAUAUUCCUUGCUUUCCUUUAUUUUACUAUUGCCCAUUUCUAUUUUUCUGUUAUUUUAACCACUUAUAAUGAUGAUGAUGGUGGUAGUGGUAGUGGUGGUAGUGGUGGUGGUGGUGGUGAUGGUGUUAGUGGUGGUGAUGAUUAUUGGAGUUGGGGUUACACAACAGAUUCAUAUGUGUAUGUCAAAAAACCAAGUCGGUCUAUUUCUUUUUCCUUUUCCAGAUUUAUGUGGAUUCUAGAGAGUGCAUUUUAACUCCAAACCUCAGUGCUCAAAUUUAGUCUCCAUUGUACCUCAUGGAAAACAAGCGAAUUCCAUGAGGUUAUGAAGUCAUGAGAACAUCUUCUUCAUGAAUGGAUUUAGUGCACCAGUGCAGUGGCUGGGAGUAGAUCAGUUCCAUGAGGCAUGAGAAAGGUGAAUUCUGGCAAAAAGGAAACUAAGAGGAGGCUUCCAGGAUCACAAGAGUAUCCUGCUUCUUCUGGAAGCCUUCAGUGACCCAGGACUUGAAACCCUCCCCUUCAAUCCCUUACCAGCUGGGUCUAUUCAGAUACAGCCUGCAGAGGUAAAAGCCCUGUAUUGCACACACUUGGAAUUUUGGCAUCUGGGAUGUAAAAACAAGAGGAUCCUGGGAGUUCACUGGCUCCAGAGGCAAGCUGAUUCAGCAAGAUCCAGGUGAGGGGCAGGUACAAGAUAGAAGAAGGCCUGUCAUUGGAGGAGAAGGUUUGAUGGGCAGGAGAGAAGUUUGAAGGAAAAGGAGAAGACUGAAAUGGAAAGAAGGAAGAGACAGGAGGGAGAGGGAGAGAAGCCAUGGCAGGUGAUGUUAAGAUUCUGCUCUGUGUAUUUACAGGUUGUUAUUAAUGUUCUUAAGGGAUGGAUGGUACUGGGCUUUGUAUGUUUAGGUGGGCAAUUAUAUCUUACCAAUUGGGUCAAAGUUUAUUGUGUUGUGUAGUCUUUCAUGUGUAGAUUUAAGUGUGAUGGAGUGUGGGGCAGCUGGUCUGGACCACCACGGAGUUGGGAUGUGUUUGUGGCAUGGAAGCCUGCCUUGGGUACUAGUUAGGUAGAGAGAUUGCUUACAGCUCAGAGAGAGGCCUUCGGCAGUGUGAUAUGGGAUGGAGCAGAGUGGGAGAGACACUUUGUUGACUGAGACUUAAGAUAUCUAGCAGACAUCUUAGGGCACCGUGGUGCCAGACCUAGGGUGAUAAAAGACAAUCCAUACCUUUUUUAGUUUUUUUAUGUUUUUACAACAACAAAUCACUUCAAAUUAACACAGAUGAUGAGCUUAUUGAAGUAGGCAAAUCCCAACAACAUCCCCAAGAUACAAAUUAAUCACUAGGUGUGGUGUGAAAUUGAUUUGCAGCCUCCAGAGGCUCACUGAAGCAGAGCUCUGCUGCCGUGGUGAAAUAAACUGAAUCAUCAGUCCACCUUUUGUCCACACCUUAGUACAGGAAGUACUGUGAGUAGCUUUUAAGCAAUUACUCAUAUUCCUCAGUGAUGUCAUUCCUGUAUUCUUCAUCAGAAAUUUACCAAUAAUUCAUGACACCGUGAACACUAAUAUCUUAGUGAAUCAGCAGGUUGGGAAGCUCAUAAAUAGUCAUAGGACCCUGUGACCUCUCAACACCAAAUAUACAAGGUUUUGAUACUUUUUGGCAUUAACUCAGUCAUUAAAUUUCUGAAUAUGUUGACUCUCCAUAUUUCUAUUUUAUGUUCUACUAUAAUACCAUUUUCUUUUUAAAUUAAGCUUAUCACCUGUUACAAUAAUUCUGAUAAAUAUUACAGGAGUUUCAUAAUAAAACAUGAUAUAAGAUUUGGACAUACUGAUAAGUCCAUCUUCCAGUUGAUUUCCUUUCUUCAUUCCUUCAUUCUUUCACUCCUUCCUUUUACCCUCCCUUCCUCUCUUUCCUUUGAUGGCCAUCUUUCAUUAACAGUACAACUUUCUGCACCUAUGAAACUCAAACUGAGAAGUAAAGAUUCUGUGAAGGUACCAGCUCGACUUCUCCAUGCUCAAUGUGUUGUGUGGAUGUUUUUCUCAGCACUGGAGCCCUACUUUCAGUUCGCAGAGAGAAACCCUUCGUUGAGUUGUUUGAGGAUUUCUGUGGGAUCCCCUUGGCUAACAACUCAAUUAAAUGUAAACCUAUCUUUGCACUGGAAUACUUUCUUAGUUGAGUCUCCUUAUUUCCCAAUUGUAGAAAUUCUCUUUAGAUCAUUUUCAUAUAUUCCAGGAAGUUUCCACUGCACUAGGUUUCCAUACCUCCCCUCAAAUGCCUCACAAUUCUAGCAAUCUCUCCCUAUGUUCUUUUCCUCCAUCGCACCUCCCUCAAAGACCAUCCUUUCAGCUCCUGUUCCUGACUAGUGUAACCAUAAAAAUCUAUUCUAUGUCCUCUUUCAACAGAGACCUAUGCAUCACCCAAGAGCCCCCCUAUUUACCUCCCCUCUCUGAGUCUAAGAAUUAUAGUUUGGUAAUCAUUUACUUAUCAACCAAUAACCAUUUAUAAGUGAAUACAUACAAUAUUUGUCUUUCUGGGUUUGGGUUACCUCACUCAGCAUCAUUGUUUUCUAGUUCCAUCCAUUUGCCUGAAAAUUUCAGGAUGACCUUUCCUAACAGCUCAGAAACAUUCUACUGUGUAAAUGUAUAAUAUUUUCUUUAGCCAUUCUUCUAUAGAGAUGCAUAUUGGUUGUUUCCAGUUUCCGACUAUUGUGAGUAAAGGUACAAUGAACAUGUUUAAGUAAGUGACCUUCUGGUAGUAUGAAGAAUCUUUUGGGUGUACGCCCAAAUGUCAUAUAGCUAGGUCUUAAGCUAUAUCAAUUCCUAAUUUUAUGAAGAAAAUUGAUUUAUUUCAUUUAUUUUAAUUGAUUUCCACAGUUUUUGUACAACUUUGUAGUACAGCAAUGGAAGAGGGUUCCUCUUGCUCUACGCUCUACAUCCUUCCUGCCAUGAGAUGGCAUUUGUGCUAUGGAUCGCAGGCAUUCAACAUUGGUUAAGAUGGAAACUUAAUUUUAAUUUCUGCUUCCUUGAUGUCUAAGGUUGUCGAGGAUAUUGAGAAUUCUAUGUUUAAAUCUGUACUACAAUUUUUAAUUGAAUUAUAAAGUUUAUGGAUAUCUAGUUUCUUGAAUUAUUUAUAUAUUUUGGAUAUUAGUUCUCUAUCACACAUCAAGUUGAAAAAAAAAACACUUUCUAUAUUGUGAGCUACAGUACUAUUAUAUCCUUUGCUUUACAGAACUGUUUAAGUUUCAUGAGGAUCCUUUCCUUAAUUGUUAAUCUUAGAGCCUGCUCUACAGGUGUUCUGUUCAGGAAUUUGAUUUAGGUGACAAAUCAUCCAAAAGUAUUUCCAAAUUUAUCAUCUAUCAGAUUCAACGUAUCUGGAUUUAUUUUUCUUUUAUCUUGAUCAACUUGAGAAUUUCUUUUUUUUUUUUUUUUUUUUUUUGGAUGUAAUAAGCAAAGGCGAGGUUUAUUACAGAGAUCUAUUAUGGGGAUCUCCGGGUCGACACGUAUCCUGCGCAGGAGACAGAGGUGUCGACCCCGAAGCUCAAAAGUUAGGGGUUUAUAUAGGGAAGGCUAGGGGGUUUGGAGCAGUUACACACAAUUGGCUAAUUUCUGGCGAGGCUAUAAGUGAUUGGCUCAUUUAAACAUGGCAGUGAGAUUACAGCACAGCAGGAGAGUACGUAUUGACUGGAGCGUACAGGAUUUUAGAAGCUAGGGGCGUAUCAGGGUUUGAAGGACAUCUGGUUAAGGUGUGACUCUGAGUAAGCUGGGGGAGGUGCCUUUCUGCCAGAUGGUUUGGGUCAGUCCUGAAAACUCGGGCUAGUUCCUGCAUUCCUUUUCUUUAUCUUUAUGGCCUGUUAGUCCUAGCAGCAGGGCGGGGCUGCCUGGACUUGCUUUUCACAGUGUUUAGCCCUGAGUUUGUGAAUUUUGAAACUUAUUCUUUUAAUUUUAUAUUUUUAAACCUCAAAUCUGUAUAAUUUUCCUUUCAUUCCCCUCUUCUUCUACUAAGUAAUUCUAAUCUUAGAAUUUUGAUAUCAAGUCUCAUAUUUGGUCUCACCAGUUGUCCUAACUGACUGGUACUGUUGUCUCAGAAUCAUCAACCGCACAGCACCCACUCGAUUUUUUUUUUUUGGUUCUUUUUUUCGGAGCUGGGGACCGAACCCAGGGCCUUGCACUUCCUAGGUAAGCGCUCUACCACUGAGCUAAAUCCCCAGCCCCACCCACUCGAUUUUUAACAAAAGCAAUUAACCGGUUUGUCACGCAGGGUCCAAAAACUAAAACCAAGAAAAUUAUUAGUAAUGGCCCAGCCAUAUAGCAGAGAGUAGGGUAGUCAUCCAGGGAGACCGAGUAAACCAAGACUCAAACCAACCUUGUUGAGCGUCUCUAUCUUUUUGUAGGAGUCAAACCUAUUAACUAGUUUCUUUAACACACAUGAACCUAUAAUCAGAAGCAGAAGCAAAACUAAGAAGGGUCCCAUAAGGGAAGAUAUCAGAGUAGUCAUCCAAGGAGAUCUACUAAACCAGCUCUCGAACCAUCACUGAAGCGCUUCUCUGUCUGUCUUUUGUCCAACCUUUCUCUUAAGUUUAUUCAUGGAGUCUUUAAUUACUCCUGAAUGGUCUACAUAGAAGCAACAUUCUUCUUUCAGUGUAGCACACAGACUCCUUCUUUAAGGAAUAUCAGGUCUAAACUUCUCCUAUUCUGAAGGACUACCUCUGAGAGGGAGGUUAGGUAUUCUUGGAGGUCAGCUAAAAAGUCUUUCAUUCUUUUUAUAUCUGAGUCAAUGGCAGUUCUGAAUUCUCUAUAAGCCUUGCAUUGCAGGGCAAUGGCAGACGUCCUUGUGCUGCCCUUGCAGCACCUAGAUAGCGUUAAGUAAUUCUCAACUCUUUUUUUUUUUUUUGUCUUACUAAGCCUUUAGCAUCAGGAUUCCAAUCUGGACACUAUCUAAACCUACAUACCAAGGUAAUGACUAGCUUUUAGAACUUCUAAACUUAUACAGAUUGUGAUCCCUGAGGCACAGUCCCAAGAAGUGUUAGGAGUACUAACAUAUGCAAUGUUACAUCAUUUGUAAUAGAAAUCAAGCCUAUCUCUACACCUAUCUCGAUGGAACCCAGGGCAAACAUGCUGAGUGUCCCUCUAGGUCCCAGCUCUCAGCCCCAACAGCUAGUACACGGCUGGUGAGGGCUGAGAAUUGAUGGCUGUCAGGGUGGUCAGCAGCACCAGGUAUGGUCCUUUCCAGUGAGGCUCGAGUAUCGGGGUUCGGUGCCAUCGUAUGUAGCCGAGUCUCCAACCUGGAACUGAUGAGAUGUCUUGGGGGUCCACGGGGCUGCUGCCAGCUGUGACCAGAUUUCUUUCUGUAUCACCUGUAGGUCUUAUAGCCUGGCAUACAAAUCAUUAUUACUAUGACAUGUUGGUUCAGUAACAUCAUCUAAUACAGUCAGAGGAGCUGAGGCCUCAUAUAAGAUCUCAAAGAGGUCUGAAUCUGGAAGGGGUAUUUCUUGCUCUGAAGAGAGCAAGAGGGAAGGAGUGCCACCCAGUCUGCGCCAGUCUCCAUGGUCAAUUUGGUCAGGGUCUCUUUUAGAGUUUUAUUUAUUUACUCUACUUGUCCUGAACUUUGAGGUCUGUAAAUACAACGUAAUUUCUAAUCGACCUCUAAAUACUUGACCACACCCUGGCUUACCUUGGCAAUGAAAGUAGGGCCAUUGUCUGACCAGAUCACCUUGGGCACUCCAGACCUGGGAAAGAUUUCUUCCAGUAUCUUCUUGAUGACUACCGGGGCCGUCUCUUGCUUGGCGAGGAAAGCUUCUAUCUAUUCCUGGAAAGGUACCUAAAAGCAAGUUGUUGGCUUCAUCAGGGCAUCCAAGAGAUGGCAAAGACAUCUACGGCACUGAUGUGCUGGGGGGUUGGGGUUCAGCCAUUCAAGAUGAUAUUGUGUUGUCCACCAUGGCAGCACCCACUUAUCUCUGACCUUCAUGAAGAGAACUGUUCCUGUCUGUAGACAAGGUAGCCUCGGCUUUCAGCAGGGGUCAAUCAACCAGUCGCAGAGGUCUUUCCUCCACCCAUGGGCUUCUGCCAGUGCUUGCCACUCAUGUUGCAGUGGCUACAGGUCAAGAUUGGACAGCAAGGUGACCAGAUUGUCCCCAACCCGUGGAAAGUCUAGUCCAUGGCAGCUGACCAGUGGUCCCAUCUUUUGGGACAUUCUAUUCAAAGGCAAAACAUCAGCCACUCUAUCACAGUUUAAGUCCUGGAUUGGGUGAUAAUUGUUAGUGCCCGGAUGGCAGGAACGGAGUGUUCCAGGCAGAACAGCACUAAGCCACAUAUCUCUCAGCAUCAGGUACUGAUGCACUGAGACAGGUCUUAAGCUCCACAUACACAGUCUGCAGAUAUGCAUACACAUGGCCAAACCCAGCCAUUUCAGCCCACACAAGCCAUUUGGGAAAGCAAAUUUCUCAUGAGCAAGGGCAGUCAGGAAUGACCAUGAACUAGUGGGUUACCGGCCCACGCCAAGGUCCACUGUUCUUCAGGUAGUCCAUAAGUAUUGUUUACUGUCAGUAGCCCCCUGUACUCAAGGUCUUUGGAUAUUGGUCCACUGGGGGGGGGCAUAGGAGCACAGAGCAUUGGGUCCCUGUAUCCACAAAACAACUGGGUGGGCUUACCUUCUAUCUCUGUGCAUAGCCAGCACUCAAGGACUAAGAGGCUCUCCAGUGGCCCCUCUUGUUCUUUCUUGGGCAGUCCCUGACACAGUGUCCUUUUUCUUUCCAUUAGGCACACUGAUCUUUAGCCAGGAAUUAACUUGAGAAUUUCUUAUAUACAUUUUGAUUGUUAUUCCCCUUACGGGUUUCCGGGCCAACAUCCGCCUAAACCCUCCCCCCUCCCCUUGUAUAUGGGCUUCCCUACCAAUCCUUCCCUCAUUACCACCCUCCCCUCAAUAAACACGUUCACUGGGGAUUCAGUCUUUGCAGGGUCAAGGGCUUCCCCUUCCACUGGUGCUCUUACUAGGCUAUUCUUUGCUACAUAUGAGGUUGGAGCCCAGGAUCAGUCCAUGUAUAGUCUUUGGGUAGUGGCUUAGACCCAGGAAGCUCUGGUUGGUUGGCAUUGUUGUUCAUAUGAGGUAUCAAGCCCCUUCAAGCUCUUCCAGUUCUUUCUCUGAUUCCUUCAACGGGGGUCCUGUUCUCAGUUCAGUGGUUUGCUGCUGGCAUUCGCCUCUGUGUUUGCUGUAUUCUGGCUGUGUCUCUCAGGAGCGAUCUACAUCCGGCUCCUGUCGGCCUGCACUUCUUUGCUUCAUCCAUCUUUAAAGAAGGAGUGAAGCAUUCAUAUUUUGGUCAUCCUUCUUGAGUUUCAUGAGUUAUGUGCAUCUAGGGUAAUUCAAGCAUUUGGGCUAAUAGCCACUUAUCAAUGAGUGCAUACCAUGUAUGUCUUUCUGUGAUUGGGUUAGCUCAGUCAGGAUGAUAUUUUCCAGUUCCAGCCAUUUGCCUACGAAUUUCAUAAAGUCAUUGUUUUUGAUAGCUGAGUAAUAUUCCAUUGUGUAGAUGUACCACAUUUUCUGUAUCCAUUCCUCUGUUGAAGGGCAUCUGGGUUCUUUCCAGCUUCUGGCUAUUAUAAAUAAGGCUGCGAUGAACAUAGUGGAGCACGUGUCUUUUUUAUAUGUUGGGGCAUCUUUUGGGUAUAUGCCCAAGAGAGGUAUAGCUGGAUCCUCAGGCAGUUCAAUGUCCAAUUUUCUGAGGAACCUCCAGACUGAAUUCCAGAAUGGUUGUACCAGUCUGCAAUCCCACCAACAAUGGAGGAGUGUUCCUCUUUCUCCGCAUCCUCGCCAGCAUUUGCUGUCACCUGAGUUUUUGAUCUUAGCCAUUCUCACUGGUGUGAGGUGAAAUCUCAGGGUUGUUUUGAUUUGCAUUUCCCUUAUGACUAAAGAUGUUGAACAUUUCUUUAGGUGUUUCUCAGCCAUUCGGCAUUCCUCAGCUGUGAAUUCUUUGUUUAGCUCUGAACCCCAUUUUUUAAUAGGAUUAAUUGUCUCCCUGCAGUCUUACUUCUUGAGUUCUUUGUAUAUUUUGGAUAUAAGCUCUCUACCUUUUGUAGGAUUGGUAAAGAUCUUUUCCCAAUUUAUUGGUUGCCGUUUUGUCCUAACAACAGUGUUCUUUGCCUUACAAAAGCUUUGCAGUUUUAUGGGAUCCCAUUUGUUGAUUCUUGAUCUUAGAGCAUAAGCCAUUAGUGUUUUGUUCAGGAAAUUUUCUCCAGUGCCCAUGUGUUCGAGAUGCUUUCCCACUUUUUCUUCUAUUAGUUUGAGUGUAUCUGGUUUGAUGUGAAGGUUCUUGAACCACUUGGACUUAAGCUUUGUGCAGGGUGAUAAGCAUGGAUCGAUCUGCAUUCUUCUACAUGCUGAUGUCUAGUUGAACCAGCACCAUUUGCUGAAAAAACUAUCUUUUUUCCAUUGGAUGGUUUUAGCUCCUUUUCAAAAAUCAAGUGCCUAUAGGUGUGUGGGUUCAUUUCUUGAUCUUCAAUUCUAUUCCACUGGUCAUCUGUCUGUACCAAUACCAUGCAGUUUUUAUCACUAUUGCUCUGUAAUACUGCUUGAGUUCAGGGAUAGUGAUUUCCCCAGAAUUCCUUUUAUUGUUGAGCAUAGUUUUAGCUAUCCUGGGUUUUUUGUUAUUCCAGGUGAAUUUACAAAUUGUUCUGUCUAAUUCUCUGAAGAAUUGGAUUGGUAUUUUGAUGGGCAUUGCAUUGAAUCUGUAGAUCGCUUUUGGUAAAAUGUUCAUUAUUACUAUGUUAAUCCUGCCAAUCCAUGAGCGUGGGAGAUCCUUCCAUCUUCUGAGGUCUUCUUCAAUUUCUUUCUUCAGAGGCUUAAAGUUCUUAUUUUACAGAUCUUUUACUUGCUUGGUUGAACUCACACCGAUGUACUUUAUAUUAUUUGGGAUUAUUUUGAAGGGUGUCAUUUCCCUAAUUUCUUUCUUGGCUUGUUUCACUUUUGUGUACAGGAAGGCUACUGAUUCAUUUGAGUUAAUUUUAUACCCAGCCACUUUGCUGAACCUGUUUAUCGGGAUUAGUAGUUCUCCGGUGGAACUUUUGGGAUCGCUUAAAUAUACUAUCUUAACAUCUGCAAAUAGUGAUAUUUUGACAUCUUCUUUUCCAAUCUGUAUCCCUUUGAUCUCCUUUUGUUGUCUGAUUGCUCUGGCUAGAACUUCAAGAACUAUAUUGAAUAAGUAGGGAGAGAGUGGGCAGCCUUGUCUAGUCCCUGAUUUUAGUGGGAUUGCUUCAAGUCUCUCCAUUUAGUUUAAUGUUAGCCACUGGUUUGCUGUAUAUGGCUUUUACUAUGUUUAGGUAUGGGCCUUGAAUUCCUAUUCUUUCCAGGACUUUCAUUAUGAAGUGGUGUUGCAUUUUGUCUAAUUCUUUCUCAGCAUCUAAUGAAAUGAUCAUGUGUUUUUUUUUUCUUUCAGGUUGUUUAUAUAAUGGAUUACAUUGUUGGUUUUCCGUAUAUUAAACCAUCCCUGUAUGCCUGGGAUCAAGCCUGCUUGACAAUGGCAAAGGAUUGUUUUGAUGUGCUCUUGGAUUAGAUUUGCCAGCAUUUUAUUGAGUAUUUUUGCAUGGAUAUUCAUAAGGGAAAUUGGUCUGAAGUUCUCUUCCCAUAUUGCGGCUUUGUGUGGUUUAGAUAUAAGAGUAAUUGUGGCUUCAUAUAAGGAAUUCGGUAGCGCUCUGUAUGUUUCUAUUUUGUGGAAUAGUUUGCAUAGUAUUGGUAUGAGGUCUUCUAUGAAGGUCUGAUAGAAUUCUGCAGUGAACCCAUACGGACAUGGGCUAAUUUUCUUUGGGAGACCUUUAAUGUGUGCUUCUAUUUCUUUUGGAGUUGUAGGGUUCUUUACAUGUUUUAUCUGUUCCUGAUUUAACUUCGGUACCUGGUAUCUGUCUAGGAAAUUGUCAUUUCCUGCAGAUUUUCAAGUUUUCUUGAAUAUAGGCUUUUAUAUUAGGAGCUGAUGACUUUUAGAAUUUCCUCUGAUUCUGUAGUUAUGUCUCUCUUUUCAUUUCUGAUUUUGUUAAUUUUGAAAUACUCUCCAUGUCCUCUCUUUAGUCUGGCUAAUGGUUUAUCUAUCAUGUUGAUUUCCUCAAAGAAUCAACUUUUGGUUCUGUUGAUUCUUUCUAUGGUCCUUUUUGUUUCUACUUGGUUGAUUUCAGCUCUGAGUUUGAUUAUUUCCUGCCUUUUUUUUUUUUUUUUUUCGGAGCUGAGGACCGAACCCAGGGCCUUGCGCUUGCUAGGCAAGCGCUCUACCACUGAGCUAAAUACCCAACCCCUAUUUCCUGCCUUUUACUCCUCCUGGGUGUAUUUGCUUCUUUUUGUUCUAGAGCUCUUAGGUGUGCUGUCAAGUUGCUGAUAUAUCAUCUCUCCUGUUUCUUUCUACAGGCACUCAGAGGUAUGAGUUUUCCUCUUAGCACAGCUUUCAUUGUGUCCCAUAAGUUUGGGUCUGUUUUACCUUCAUUUUCAUUAAAUUCUAAGAAGUCUUUAAUUUCUUUCUUUAUUUCUUCCUUGACCAGGUUAUCGUUGAGUAGAGCAUUGUUCAACUUCCAUGCAUAUGUGGGAGUUCUUCCCUUAUUGUUAUUUAAGACAAGCUUUAGCCCGUGGUGGUCUGAUAGGACGCAUGGGAUUAUAUCUACUUUCUGUAUCUGUUGAGGCCUGUUGUAUGACCAAAAAUAUGGACAGUUUUGGAGAACGUACCAUGAGGUGGUGAGAAGAAGGCAUAUCCUUUUGUUUUAGGAUAGAAUAUUCUAUAAAUAUCUGUUAAUUCCAUUUUUUUCACGACUUCUCUUGGUCUGUCUAUGUCUCUGAUUAGUUUCUGUUUCCAUGAUCUCUCCAUUGAUGAGAGUGGGGUAUUGAAAUCUCCUACUAUUAUUGUGUGAGGUGCAGUGUGUUCUUUGAGCUUUAAUAAGGUUCCUUUUAUGUACAUAGGUGCGUUUGUAUUUGGAGCAUAGGUUUUAGGAUUGAGAGUUCAUCUUGGUGGAUUUUUCCUUUGAUGAAUAUGAAGUGUCCUUCCUUAUCUUUUUUGAUGGCUUUUAGUUGAAAAUCGAUUUUAUUCGAUAUUAGAAUGGCUACUCCAUUUUCCUUCUUCAGACCAUUUGCUUGAAAAUUGUUUUCCAGCCUUUCACUCUGAGGUAGUGUCUGACUUUGUCUCUGAGGUGUGUUUCCUGUAGGUAGCAGAAUGCAGGGUCUUCAUUGUGUAUAUAGUUUGCUAAUCUAUGUCUUUUUAUUGGAGAGUUGAGAACAUUGAUGUUGAGAGAUAUUAAGGAAUAGUGAUUAUUGCUUCCUGUUAUAUUCAUAUUUGGAUGUGAGGUUAUGUUUGUGUGCUUUUCUUCUCUUUGUUUUAUUGCCAAGACGAUUAGUUUCUUGCUUUUUUUUUUUUUAUGUAAAGUCACAUUUACUGAGCACUGGACGUCAGGUUCUGAGUAUUUUGCAAAUAUUAGCUCAUCCAAUCCUCUCAGAAAACCUGUGAGGAAACAGUUCAUGGCACAGGCUAUUCGGAUUUAAGGGUGAGGUCACGUGGUUUGAAGUAGCAGAGCUGGAGUUCCAAUCUAGACUCUUCAUUCUUUUUUUUUUCUUUUUUUUUUCUUUUUUUCCUUUUUUUACAAUGCUAUUGAUUAUUUCUUUUUUUUUCUUUUUUUUUAUUUAUUUAUUUUUUUAUUAACUUGAGUAUUUCUUAUAUACAUUUCGAGUGUUAUUCCCUUUCCCGGUUUCCGGGCAAACAUCCCCCUCCCCCCUCCCCUUCCUUAUAGGUGUUCCCCUCCCAACCCUCCCCCCAUUGCCGCCCUCCCCCCAUAGACUAGUUCACUGGGGGUUCAGUCUUAGCAGGACCCAGGGCUUCCCCUUCCACUCGUGCUCUUACUAGGAUAUUCAUUGCUACCUAUGGGGUCAGAGUCCAGGGUCAGUCCAUAUAUAGUCUUUAGGUAGUGGCUUAGUCCCUGGAAGUUCUGGUUGCUUGGCAUUGUUGUACUUUUGGGGUCUCGAGCCCCUUCAAGCUCUUCCAGUUCUUUCUCUGAUUCCUUCAAUAGGGGACCUAUUCUCAGUUCAGUGGUUUGCUGCUGGCAUUCGCCUCUAUAUUUGCUGUAUUCUGGCUGUGUCUCUCAGGAGCGAUCUACAUCCGGCUCCUGUCGGUCUGCACUUCUUUGCUUCAUCCAUCUUGUCUAAUUGGGUGGCUGUAUAUGUAUGGGCCACAUGUGGGGCAGGCUCUGAAUGGGUGUUCCUUCAGUCUCUGUUUUAAUCUUUGCCUCUCCCUUCCCUGCCAAGGGUAUUCUUUUUCCUCAUUUAAAGAAGGAGUGAAGCAUUCACAUUUUGAUCAUCCGUCUU